RNAcentral lists this ribosomal RNA (500 nucleotides) under uncultured bacterium. Its description in RNAcentral is "partial 16S ribosomal RNA". It matches the Rfam family "Bacterial small subunit ribosomal RNA", at positions 30 to 523 of the family's 1533-position model. The record is from RNAcentral.
AUUGAACGCUGGCGGCAUGCUUUACACAUGCAAGUCGAACGGCAGCACGGACUUCGGUCUGGUGGCGAGUGGCGAACGGGUGAGUAAUACAUCGGAACGUACCCAGUAAUGGGGGAUAACUAUCCGAAAGGAUAGCUAAUACCGCAUACGCCCUACGGGGGACAGAGGGGGAUCGCAAGACCUCUUGUUAUUGGAGCGGCCGAUGGCUGGUUAGCUAGUUGGUGAGGUAAAGGCUCACCAAGGCGACGAUCAGUAGCGGGUCUUAGAGGACGAUCCGCAACACUGGAACUGAGAGACGGUCCAGACUCCGACGGGAGGCAGCAGUGGGGAAUCUUGGACAAUGGGCGCAAGCCUGAUCCAGCAAUGCCGCGUGCGUGAAGAAGGCCUUCGGGUUGUAAAGCGCUUUUGUCAGGGAGCAAAUCCUUGUGGCUAAUACCCACCGGGGAUGAGAGUACCUGAAGAAUAAGGACCGGCUAACUACGUGCCAGCCGCCGCGGUAA